Molecule: ribosomal RNA, 468 nt
Filed under: uncultured bacterium
Lineage: Bacteria
Description: partial 16S ribosomal RNA
Rfam family: Bacterial small subunit ribosomal RNA
Source: RNAcentral
GACGAACGCUGGCGGCGUGCUUAACACAUGCAAGUCGAACGGAAAGGCCCUGCUUUUGUGGGGUGCUCGAGUGGCGAACGGGUGAGUAACACGUGAGUAACCUGCCCUUGACUUUGGGAUAACUUCAGGAAACUGGGGCUAAUACCGGAUAGGAGCUCCUGCUGCAUGGUGGGGGGUGGAAAGUUUCGGCGGUUGGGGAUGGACUCGCGGCUUAUCAGCUUGUUGGUGGGGUAGUGGCUUACCAAGGCUUUGACGGGUAGCCGGCCUGAGAGGGUGACCGGCCACAUUGGGACUGAGAUACGGCCCAGACUCCUACGGUAGGCAGCAGUGGGGAAUAUUGCACAAUGGGCGGAAGCCUGAUGCAGCAACGCCGCGUGCGGGAUGACGGCCUUCGGGUUGUAAACCGCUUUCGCCUGUGACGAAGCGUGAGUGACGGUAAUGGGUAAAGAAGCACCGGCUAACUACGUG